Ribosomal RNA from Panthera pardus (leopard), 120 nucleotides. The record is from Ensembl. Lineage: Eukaryota; Metazoa; Chordata; Mammalia; Carnivora; Felidae.
GUCUAUGGCCGUACCACCCUGAAUGUGCCUGGUCUUGUCUGAUCUCGGAAACUAAGCAGGGUUGGGCCUGGGUAGUACUUAAGCUGGAAAAAUGCACACUCUCAGGCCCCACCCCAGACC